UUGCUUCCAAUUUCUGGGGUUCUUAUAGGCAUAGAUAAGAUUCGUGCAGCCCACCACUCAUUCUAGAAGAAUGUUGUAGUUAAUUCAUUGCCUGCUGCUUGCAUCUCUUCAAGUACAAUUUUGGUUAAGCUGUGUACGCAGGUUUGCUCUGGUCAGUUUAGUACAUUUAUGGGUAUUUUGUUACUCGGAUCCUUUUUUUUACAUUUAUUCAUUGACAUAGUUUUAACCCCUUCCACUAAGGCAGUGAACUAAUUGUGCUGGAAGGUUAUAAUACCAGAAAAGAACAAAAUGUUGGAUGUAAGAUUAUUGGUUCACCUAUUCCUGUCCAAGCUUUAGACAAUCUGUUUGUUACAACUACAAUAUGACAUCUUCCAAUUACUUUUUGCUAUUGUAGCAGUUUAUGUGUGCAAUGCAAUAAGCUAAGUGAAAGCUAAGCUUCAUUUUGUAGGAUCUGACCAUAAUUCAUUUUGAUUUGUUCACAGGGAGCUAAUAUUCAUCAUAUUUUCUCUUUCUGGUAAGCCUUUCUACCCAUCUCAUGAUUUGCUUAUUUGCCAUCCAAUUAGUUUACUAGAAAUCUCUUCUUUUGACAUAAAAUUGUACUGCUGGAAUUAUUUCAAAUGCCAUGUUUUCUUUGUUUUGCUAAGAUGGCUUCAGAAGUCAACUGCAGAAGUAAAAAAAGAAUUUGACAAAGUACUGCUCUGUGACAUGUUAUGAUUUUCCUUAAUCAAUUUACUUCUAUUUGAUUUUUUGGUCCAUUGUUCAAGUGAUUUCAUCUGAAAUUUUGAUAUUGAUGCUAUAGCCUGAAAACACCUUCCUAAAUAGUAUCAUGAUAAUUCAUGAAGUUUGGGAAGUCUCAAUUCGUGCUAAAUUUGAGUGUGCACAGUUCGCUCUAUCGAAGUAACAUUUUUUAUAGAAAAUUUUAUGACUUAAUAAUAUAAGUGAACAACAUUGAAUAAUAUCUAAAUUAACCAUUCCUUAUCCUUUUUGAAAGCAAUUGUAUAUUUGAAUGCUUGUGCUUACAAGUUUGUGCUUCUUUUUUGUUUAGGAUGAUUGUUCAAAUAAAUAUAGAUAGCCAAGUUUCUUCAAUAAGAGUUUUCCUUCAAAAUUUGAAAAUCAGGGAAUCUAGAGUUCAUUUAGACAAGGAUAUUUUUACUUCAGCUUUAGAACAGAGAUUUGGCUGAUGCAGAGUGAACUCUAUCAGAGAGUCGUCAGUUUGUCAGGACAAAUGUAUGACACUGUAGGUGUUGAGAUGAUUCAAGGAUGAAGUAUGGAAACACAAGAAAGUUUACCCAUUUCAGAUGCCAUGUAUAUUUUACUUCUGGCCUGGAAUAUUGUAUAUAUUGUAUAACAUCCCUCUCUGUAUCAUUUUCUUCCAUGUACAGAACAACUUAUUGAAUGGAAAUAUAUGGUAUAUUUUAUAACGAAUCAAA
This is a long non-coding RNA of Panicum virgatum (switchgrass), 1430 nucleotides long. RefSeq lists it as uncharacterized. The transcript has 2 exons. The record is from RefSeq and is a predicted model, not a curated record. NCBI's taxonomy places the organism in Eukaryota, Viridiplantae, Streptophyta, Magnoliopsida, Poales, Poaceae.